Poecilia latipinna (sailfin molly) is the source of this 689-nucleotide long non-coding RNA. RefSeq lists it as uncharacterized. The record is from RefSeq and is a predicted model, not a curated record. The transcript has 3 exons. NCBI's taxonomy places the organism in Eukaryota, Metazoa, Chordata, Actinopteri, Cyprinodontiformes, Poeciliidae.
CUUACAAUCAAUCAUCACUACAGUCAUAAUCAAAAGUAAGUACACCUUCAUUUCUAUCAGAACUUCUUUCCUUCCUCAUGAAGAUUUUAUCAACCUGCCUCUGAUUUCACCUCAGAGCUUCUACUUCCUGUUUCUGCUGCUCUGAAAGAAGAAACUACAAAUCAGGUGAGCCGUGACGUCAUCAUUCACGCAACAUCCGUCACAUUUACUUCGGUUUGAAUUAACCUGUUUAGAUGUAGUUGCUCCAGUCCGGUUUUUUUUGCGUCUCAGCUUGUUUUUAAAAUGUUCUUCUUGAACUCUUUGGUUCGUUUGAACAAACUGUAGAAAGUGUGUGUGAGCUGAUGUGAAUUCAGCAGCAUGGAUCAGUGUGAGGACAGACAGGAGGGAGUCCCUCCCUCUAAAACCACUCAGUGUGGGGAAGAUGAGAGCCAGAGCAAAGGUCAGAGGAUCCAUCAGAGACUCAGACCAGAACCAGAACCAGAACCAGAACCAGGACCCAGCUGUGUGUCCUUUAAGAGCGAUGGGUCAAAGGAUGACUUCAUUAAUUUUAAGUCUCCUGGAUCUCCACCAUCAUGGAGGUGAGCUGUUUCUACCUGCUGUAACUGUUUAUAUCUGUCAUUGUGGCCAUGAGACGAUACCAAGUUCUGUUGGGCUCUGUUGUCAUGGAAACAUUUGACAGAAUUUCAGGU